GCCUAUAUUACUUUUAAACACCAGUUCUUGUACGAUCACCUAAGUUAAGAAAUAUUGAGCCUGGUCAGUACAUAGAUGAUUGACCGCUUGGGAAUACCAGGUGACGUAAG
Non-coding RNA from Acanthosepion pharaonis, 110 nucleotides. Lineage: Eukaryota; Metazoa; Mollusca; Cephalopoda; Sepiida; Sepiidae. The record is from the annotation of a GenBank genome assembly.